This 1397-nucleotide ribosomal RNA is filed under the name Microbacterium aurantiacum. RNAcentral describes it as "partial 16S ribosomal RNA". It matches the Rfam family "Bacterial small subunit ribosomal RNA". Lineage: Bacteria; Bacillati; Actinomycetota; Actinomycetes; Micrococcales; Microbacteriaceae. The record is from RNAcentral.
GUGAAGCCAAGCUUGCUUGGUGGAUCAGUGGCGAACGGGUGAGUAACACGUGAGCAACCUGCCCUGAACUCUGGGAUAAGCGCUGGAAACGGCGUCUAAUACUGGAUAUGAGCUGCGGAGGCAUCUUCGUGGUUGGAAAGAUUUUUCGGUUUGGGAUGGGCUCGCGGCCUAUCAGCUUGUUGGUGAGGUAAUGGCUCACCAAGGCGUCGACGGGUAGCCGGCCUGAGAGGGUGACCGGCCACACUGGGACUGAGACACGGCCCAGACUCCUACGGGAGGCAGCAGUGGGGAAUAUUGCACAAUGGGCGGAAGCCUGAUGCAGCAACGCCGCGUGAGGGAUGACGGCCUUCGGGUUGUAAACCUCUUUUAGCAGGGAAGAAGCGAAAGUGACGGUACCUGCAGAAAAAGCGCCGGCUAACUACGUGCCAGCAGCCGCGGUAAUACGUAGGGCGCAAGCGUUAUCCGGAAUUAUUGGGCGUAAAGAGCUCGUAGGCGGUUUGUCGCGUCUGCUGUGAAAACCCGAGGCUCAACCUCGGGCCUGCAGUGGGUACGGGCAGACUAGAGUGCGGUAGGGGAGAUUGGAAUUCCUGGUGUAGCGGUGGAAUGCGCAGAUAUCAGGAGGAACACCGAUGGCGAAGGCAGAUCUCUGGGCCGUAACUGACGCUGAGGAGCGAAAGGGUGGGGAGCAAACAGGCUUAGAUACCCUGGUAGUCCACCCCGUAAACGUUGGGAACUAGUUGUGGGGUCCAUUCCACGGAUUCCGUGACGCAGCUAACGCAUUAAGUUCCCCGCCUGGGGAGUACGGCCGCAAGGCUAAAACUCAAAGGAAUUGACGGGGACCCGCACAAGCGGCGGAGCAUGCGGAUUAAUUCGAUGCAACGCGAAGAACCUUACCAAGGCUUGACAUACACGAGAACGCUGCAGAAAUGUAGAACUCUUUGGACACUCGUGAACAGGUGGUGCAUGGUUGUCGUCAGCUCGUGUCGUGAGAUGUUGGGUUAAGUCCCGCAACGAGCGCAACCCUCGUUCUAUGUUGCCAGCACGUAAUGGUGGGAACUCAUGGGAUACUGCCGGGGUCAACUCGGAGGAAGGUGGGGAUGACGUCAAAUCAUCAUGCCCCUUAUGUCUUGGGCUUCACGCAUGCUACAAUGGCCGGUACAAAGGGCUGCAAUACCGCGAGGUGGAGCGAAUCCCAAAAAGCCGGUCCCAGUUCGGAUUGAGGUCUGCAACUCGACCUCAUGAAGUCGGAGUCGCUAGUAAUCGCAGAUCAGCAACGCUGCGGUGAAUACGUUCCCGGGUCUUGUACACACCGCCCGUCAAGUCAUGAAAGUCGGUAACACCUGAAGCCGGUGGCCCAACCCUUGUGGAGGGAGCCGUCGAAGGUGGGAUCGGUAAUU